RNAcentral lists this long non-coding RNA (217 nucleotides) under Bos mutus (wild yak). RNAcentral's name for it is "lncRNA (ENSBMUG00000002731.1)". The record is from RNAcentral. Lineage: Eukaryota; Metazoa; Chordata; Mammalia; Artiodactyla; Bovidae.
AGCCCUGUGUUGGAAUGACUUACCCACCCUCCCAGGUCUCUUUUCAUCUUUCCUGAAGGUCUCAUUGCUCACCGGUUUCCACAGGGGAAAUAACAUUAUUGGCAACUCUUCUGAGCACUUGUUCCCAGCCAGGCACCAUGCAAAGGCCUAAGGAUACAGCUGCAAUGACAGACACAAUCCUCCAAGCUGGGCUGUAUAUUUAGUACCCAGAAAAUAC